CUGAUAGCUCAGUCGGUAGAGCAGCGGACUUUUAAUCCGUUGGUCGCGAGUUCGAGUCUCGCUCAGCC
This 68-nucleotide transfer RNA is filed under the name Achromobacter xylosoxidans. It matches the Rfam family "tRNA". From Rfam's summary of the family: Transfer RNA (tRNA) molecules are approximately 80 nucleotides in length. Their secondary structure includes four short double-helical elements and three loops (D, anti-codon, and T loops). The record is from RNAcentral. Lineage: Bacteria; Pseudomonadati; Pseudomonadota; Betaproteobacteria; Burkholderiales; Alcaligenaceae.